CGUAAUCACUUGUCUUUUAAAUAAAGACUAGUAUGAAUGGCAUCACGAGAGUUCAACUGUCUCCCACACCCAAUCAGUGAAACUGAUCUCCCCGUGCAGAAGCGGGGAUAAAACCAUAAGACGAGAAGACCCCAUGGAGCUUUAAACUAAAGGCACUAGCCCCUAACUCACCCCCCAGGGUAAAACCAUUUUAACCGGCUAAAGUGACCUGUCGUUUUCGGUUGGGGCGACCACGGAGAAAAACAAAUCCUCCGAGAUGAAGGGGAUAACCCUUAGCCAAGACCAACAAUUCUAAGCAAUAGAACGUCUAACGCACUGAUCCAAUCAAAUUGAUCAACGAACCAAGUUACCCUGGGGAUAACAGCGCAAUCUAUUUUCAGAGUUCAUAUCGACAAAUAGGUUUACGACCUCGAUGUUGGAUCAGGGCCUCCUAGCGGUG
RNAcentral lists this ribosomal RNA (439 nucleotides) under Bombina variegata (yellow-bellied toad). RNAcentral describes it as "partial 16S ribosomal RNA". It matches the Rfam family "Bacterial large subunit ribosomal RNA", at positions 1960 to 2555 of the family's 2925-position model. Lineage: Eukaryota; Metazoa; Chordata; Amphibia; Anura; Bombinatoridae. The record is from RNAcentral.